Molecule: ribosomal RNA, 455 nt
Filed under: uncultured bacterium
Lineage: Bacteria
Description: bacterial SSU rRNA
Rfam family: Bacterial small subunit ribosomal RNA
Source: RNAcentral
AGAGUUUGAUCCUGGCUCAGGAUGAACGCUGGCGGCGUGCUUAACACAUGCAAGUCGAACGGGCGUAGCAAUACGUCAGUGGCAGACGGGUGAGUAACACGUGGGAACCUUCCUAGGGGUACGGAACAACUCAGGGAAACUUGAGCUAAUACCGUAUACGUCCGUGAGGAGAAAGAUUUAUCGCCCUUAGACGGGCCCGCGUCGGAUUAGCUAGUUGGUGGGGUAACGGCCAACCAAGGCGACGAUCCGUAGCUGAUCUGAGAGGAUGAUCAGCCACACUGGGACUGAGACACGGCCCAGACUCCUACGGGAGGCAGCAGUGGGGAAUCUUGGACAAUGGGCGCAAGCCUGAUCCAGCCAUGCCGCGUGAGUGAAGAAGGCCUUCGGGUUGUAAAGCUCUUUUGUCAGGGACGAUAAUGACGGUACCUGAAGAAUAAGCCCCGGCAAACUUCGUG